UAUAUUUUAGUAUAUAUGUACAAAGAAUUUUGAUUUCUUAGGUGAAGUUUAGACUUUAAAUAUAA
RNAcentral lists this transfer RNA (65 nucleotides) under Brontispa longissima. RNAcentral describes it as "tRNA-Gln". Lineage: Eukaryota; Metazoa; Arthropoda; Insecta; Coleoptera; Chrysomelidae. The record is from RNAcentral.